CGCGUGGGAACGUGCCCUUCUCUAAGGAAUAGUCUCGGGAAACUGAGGGUAAUACCUUAUACGCCCUUCGGGGAAAGGAUUUAUCGGAGAAGGAUCGGCCCGCGUUAGAUUAGAUAGUUGGUGGGGUAAGUGGCCUACCAAGUCUACGAUCUAUAGCUGGUUUUAGUAGGAUGAUCAGCAACACUGGGACUGAGACACGGCCCAGACUCCUACGGGAGGCAGCAGUGGGGAAUCUUAGACAAUGGGCGCAAGCCUGAUCUAGCCAUGCCGCGUGUGUGAUGAAGGUCUUAGGGUCGUAAA
Molecule: ribosomal RNA, 300 nt
Filed under: uncultured Paracoccaceae bacterium
Lineage: Bacteria; Pseudomonadati; Pseudomonadota; Alphaproteobacteria; Rhodobacterales; Paracoccaceae
Description: bacterial SSU rRNA
Rfam family: Bacterial small subunit ribosomal RNA
Source: RNAcentral